Molecule: long non-coding RNA, 415 nt
Filed under: Bos taurus (domestic cattle)
Lineage: Eukaryota; Metazoa; Chordata; Mammalia; Artiodactyla; Bovidae
Description: long non-coding RNA NONBTAT008308
Source: RNAcentral
UACAUGUUGAAUGAUUCACUUUUAAUGCAUCAUAUGAAAUUAUGCUACUAAACAUCAGACAUUAAACACAUCUCCUAAAAUAAUUCUUAAAACAUCAUUUAGGAAGAGUUUAGUUCACUCGUCAACAUUAUACAACUACAUGUAAUACAUAUGUUUCAAAAUAACCAAAUAACAUGAAAUUUUAACAUAAAAAGAAUUCAGAGAAAUCUCCAGUUAAAUGUUACAUAACAUUCUUUAUUUCUGGUAGCCAGUGUAUCCAGGAUGCAGGAUACUUGAUAGUAUCUUUGCUUUGCAUAGAAUGGAGGCAUCAUUUUAAAAACUACAGUAUUUCCCCACAUUUUCCAUGAGAAUGUAGGUGCACAAACAGCUCUGAUCUGAGGUUAUGGAGAAGGCUGUGGAAGAGCAAGGACACAUC